UGUCUCCACCCGAGACUCAGUGAAAUUGAACUCGCUGUGAAGAUGCAGUGUACCCGCGGCAAGACGGAAAGACCCCGUGAACCUUUACUAUAGCUUGACACUGAACAUUGAGCCUUGAUGUGUAGGAUAGGUGGGAGGCUUUGAAGUGUGGACGCCAGUCUGCAUGGAGCCGACCUUGAAAUACCACCCUUUAAUGUUUGAUGUUCUAACGUUGACCCGUAAUCCGGGUUGCGGACAGUGUCUGGUGGGUAGUUUGACUGGGGCGGUCUCCUCCUAAAGAGUAACGGAGGAGCACGAAGGUUGGCUAAUCCUGGUCGGACAUCAGGAGGUUAGUGCAAUGGCAUAAGCCAGCUUGACUGCGAGCGUGACGGCGCGAGCAGGUGCGAAAGCAGGUCAUAGUGAUCCGGUGGUUCUGAAUGGAAGGGCCAUCGCUCAACGGAUAAAAGGUACUCCGGGGAUAACAGGCUGAUACCGCCCAAGAGUUCAUAUCGACGGCGGUGUUUGGCACCUCGAUGUCGGCUCAUCACAUCCUGGGGCUGAAGUAGGUCCCAAGGGUAUGGCUGUUCGCCAUUUAAAGUGGUACGCGAGCUGGGUUUAGAACGUCGUGAGACAGUUCGGUCCCUAUCUGCCGUGGGCGCUGGAGAACUGAGGGGGGCUGCUCCUAGUACGAGAGGACCGGAGUGGACGCAUCACUGGUGUUCGGGUUGUCAUGCCAAUGGCACUGCCCGGUAGCUAAAUGCGGAAGAGAUAAGUGCUGAAAGCAUCUAAGCACGAAACUUGCCCCGAGAUGAGUUCUCCCUGACUCCUUGAGAGUCCUGAAGGAACGUUGAAGACGACGACGUUGAUAGGCCGGGUGUGUAAGCGCAGCGAUGCGUUGAGCUAACCGGUACUAAUGAACCGUGAGG
This 905-nucleotide ribosomal RNA is filed under the name Escherichia coli. RNAcentral describes it as "partial 23S ribosomal RNA". It matches the Rfam family "Bacterial large subunit ribosomal RNA", at positions 2017 to 2916 of the family's 2925-position model. Lineage: Bacteria; Pseudomonadati; Pseudomonadota; Gammaproteobacteria; Enterobacterales; Enterobacteriaceae. The record is from RNAcentral.